GACAUGCCAAUUCUGAAUGUUUUGUUGGAGCAAGCAUCAUCGAUAGUUUCAUCGCGUACACUGAAAGGGUUUUUCAGUUCUAGUAACCCUGAGGGAUUCUCGAGAACUGCUCGGAUCAGUUACUAGGCCAUCAGGAGUGGCAGCUAGCCAGGGAUUUACAUGAGAUACAAACAGUCCACACUGCUGUACUGUAACGCCAGGAUGACAAUUUCCAUGUUGUCAUGCAGGUACUAGAAGUCACAGUGAUAAUCUCUGCCUGAAAGGACUGUUGCGUCAACCUAUCUCUUGCAGUUGUGCAAAAGUCAGGACUACAAUUAGAAUGAUUUCCGAAACAAUGAUGGGGUCCAUUGAUGAUAUCUUUCUUGAGGGACUCAAGCGCCUUAUUUCGAUCUUUUUCGGUUGAUCUCAUUCUGAUAGCACACCUGGCCGAACUAACUAAUCGUUUCCUCAAUUUUAAUGUUAAACCCCCGCUUCCUUUGUAUGAGGCAUGCUCCUUAACAAGUUUCUCAAGUGCUCCACGAUAGCAUUUACAGGCAUGGUUUGCGCACUCAACCUUAUUUAUUGCGUGACCCCAUUCUGGUACACAUUGAAGAAGGGUGGAAUAGACAGAACCAUCUCCGUCACCAACGAAAGAAGUAUAACGCAGCCCAUGCACAUUCUCAGCCUCUAUGAAUCCUUGUAGAAUAAUAUCUGUCUCCAUUUCGGAAGAAGAUUUGUUCCAGUUCUUAAAACAGUCAUGUUUGUCUUUAGGAAUCUGUCUUGAGCAGGCAUAACAAAAUUUAUUUCGAACGCCAAUGAAAAGUAACUUGCCAGUCUCUUUGCCGAUAAUGAUGGCAACCCCUGAUUUAGCAUUAUAAGAAUGUUUGUGGGACCGUUUACUCCAACCACCGUCAACAAUAACAGUUAUUGCUGGGACACCCUCGUGAUAGUUUCCUUUUUCUAUAGCUAACUGUUUCUCUUCUCGCCCAGCUUCAAGCAUGGUUUCUCUCAACUGCUGUUCCCAUACUUCUCCAAUAGCUCGCUCAGUGCUAAUAAAACUGGUCUUUGACAUGACUGGAACUCCUACCACACUCAUGGUCUCUUGUAGUUUACUAUGGCCACCACCUGUACUCAUUUGUGCCCACACAGCCGCUAAAUUACACUCCCACCUAUCGAAAUAACACAAUUUUUUUAGAUGACACACUGUAAACUACUUUUACCUGCGAUAACCUUUUGGACCUUUUACUUUAUUGGAUGUCUCCAUUCGGAUUGUGUGUUUACAGAUGGAAUACUGAGCUAUGAUAAUGGACGCUAAACCAUAUCGAAACUCGCCAUUUAAUACAACACUUCCAGAGCAGUGCAUUGAAUGCCUGGAUAGCUCAUCAGAAUAUUUUUUCAGCUGCUCAAUAUUAAUUAUUCUGCUCCCUUGGAUGUUUGCUUCUGCUCCUGUUGAAGUUGAUGCGUCAGUGUCCGAAGUAUCUGGAGUUACUGUAGUUGUAAUAUUUGUUUCUGCUCCUGUUGAAGUUGAUGCGUCAGUGUCCGAAGUAUCUGGAGUUACUGUAGUUGUAAUAUUUGUUUCUGCUCCUGUUGAAGUUGAUGCGUCAGUGUCCGAAGUAUCUGGAGUUACUGUAGCUGUAAUAUUUGUUUCUGCUCCUGUUGAAGUUGAUGCGUCAGUGUUCGGACUAUCUGCAGUUACAGUAUGUAUAGCUGUGUCCUUUUUCUUUAUGCCAAACUUUAUGCCAAAUUUUUUUUUGUACAAUUGUCUUUUAGUAUUCCUUAUUGAAUUGCAUUUGUUCUUCUGGUUAGCCAUGAUGCUUGCUUACUUAUGUUGCAGUUUAGUAUAAUUCUCCUGCUCAGUUUGAACUAGAUUGCAAUUGAGUGGGUGGGGGAAAUUUGACUUUGCGGUCUUUAGCAGGCUGAACGAGCUGGAAGUCCAGCUGAAACGCAGUAGUCAUUUCAUGGCUCGAAUAGACACUUUUAAUCGAUAGCUUAGGUACAGUCUACUGUAGCUUCACUAUAUGCAGGGCGGGUCGAAGAGAUAUUUUGAAAAAAGGCUACUGAAAGCUCACAAGAGGCUGUUUUCCUUGGCUCUGGCCGCCAUUUUAAGUGGAGUUAGUCUACAUAUUUUUAUUUUGUGAGAGUUUGUUGGCCUGGAAAGAAAAAAACGCUUCGACCCGCCCUCCAGAAUGGUAAGAAGCAUCAUAUAAGAGCAAGAACACAGAGCUAGAAGUGUUUUUGGAAGUUUAAAAUGACUACUAGUUUUGUGUUGUUUCUAGUUAACUUGAUGAUCGCUCAGAGCUUCCACUGGAAGAUGUUUUGAAGAUUGAUACUUGUCAUACAGAUUGAUACACCGAUAUAUUUAUCAUGUAUGUGCUUCAAAUUUCUCUCAUGGCAUUUAUAGUUUCACAAAAAUCAUUAUAAGAAAAUCAUGAAUAUUCAUGAGCAAACUGUUUACCGUAACCUUAAAUAGAGAGCAGAAUGAUUCAUUAUCUUUCAUUAUCCUCGAGACAAGAACCGCAAAUCAGUGAUUAGAUUCGAGGUAAGGUCUUUUUUAAGCCGCGGCUAAUUAUCUGAAGUACGGCCACCUCGCUAUUCCGGCCAAGCUGCAUGGUCCCAAGGGUGGCCGGAUUAACGAGAGUCUACUGUAUUUGCUUUCUUAUAGACUUAGGAAUACAACUUUUUUUACAAGUGUUAUAAAAACAAAAGAAUAAGUUACAACUUUCUACAGGUGACCAACCUCUAUCUAUUUUCACUGGACUCUGCGUAUAGCUGCAUGGCUAUAUUAUGUGCGCGCACAUACAUCUAUAUAUCUCUAUACUAUCUACCAUAAUUAUAGGGCCACGUUCCCAGGCCCACAUUUGUCUCUAUAGUUGUCAGACCUCCUCUGCAUGGUUUAGGUGCGUUACAAUUGCUGUGCUAAUAUUUAAUUAAAUAGAAGCAGAAUGAUCCUGAUAUUCCAGACCACGUGGUGCAUUUUAUAGAAUGUACAUACGUAGUAUGAAGCAAAGCUAAUCACAUGUACAGUUAUUGUAUGAGUCACUGACCAUGCAUCUAUACUUCGCAUCGUUGAGUCCAGCAUUCAAGUACCCCAUAGUAUAUGCAGACAGACAAGUACAAGUACGCACAUGCAUCUGAUUCAUUUCUGACAGAGAGAAGGAUCAGUGGUGGUAACCUAAAUCUUGCAGUGCAUGUGCUAUGGGUUUAAAGUAAAAUUUACUAGCAAUGACACAAUACUAAAUGCAGUGAUGACUAGAUGUUCGUGCUCUGCGAAGUCGAUUACUAUACAAUCAGACUUUGUAGCAAUUCAAUCAACAGAACGGUCGAUCAACCUGGUGGAGUGCUAUUGCUUCACUGAUUAGCUCUUUGGGAGGCCUAUAUUAUAUCACAUGGUACGUAGGCAUGCUUAGACCAAAGAAAAUUAUGUUGAGCAAAUGUGUCAAUGAGGCCAGAUGCCUCAGAGCUUAAUUAUAGCUUUCUAUAGCAAUUUUAAAACACUCAGUGACACGAAACUGACAACUUUACAGUCCAUUUGCUCCCAAUAAUCACAUAUUAAAAGUAACUUGUUUAUACGAACAAUUAUACAGCAUAACAAAAAUAAUAGCAAUUGUUAUGAAAGUGUUAUUCGCUUACCAUUCGUAAGUGAUGAUAUUACUGACUGAUCAUGACUCAGCCACUCUGACACCCACUAACACAAAUAGAGAGCUGUAGUGUGGAGCACUUAAUGAGUGAGUCCUGCGUGUGUGUGUGUGUGGGUGGGUGUGUGUGUGAGGUAAUGUUUCUAUUCCCACAAGUUAGUAGAUAUCUAGUAACACUGAUACACACACUGUAGCAGUUAAAAUUACAAGUCCUAUGGCUCUCACACACUUCCUGCAAUUGAUGACCUAUAAUGAGUAUGCAGUAACUAGGACUUCGCCCACACACUAUAGGUACUAGCUGAAGACUUAAUAGAGCUACCACACAGGAUGUGAAACAUGAACUGGUGUGGUUACAAAAUGCGACACUCAAUAGGCCGAUGACAUAAGAGUACAGCAAAUAUAAGGACUUCACGACACCCACACAAUAGUUAAUUAUGUAUAGCUGAAGACUUAUAGCUGCCACAUGCACAGGAUGUGAAACAUGCACUGGUGCAUGGAAGGUUACAAAAUGGGACACUCAAUGGGAAUGCAUUGUGGUGCUCUCCCACCAGCGCAAGAAUAACUAUAAUGACAUACGCAUGCAGCGGAAAGUCUGAUUCCAAUUCCCUAUUCCAGCAAAGAAUAGUAAAUCUUGAAUAUCAAUCCGAUUCCAGCUCCUUAUAGAGUAUAAAAGGAGCGAUUUGAUUGACAAGUUAUAACAAGCCAGCAAUUCCAUGCAACAUCAAGUAAGAAGACAAAUCAGCUUAUCCUUUCAUCAGUCAAGAAGAAAUAGCCCAAAUUGAACACUCUAUAAUGACAAUGAAGAUUGUGCUUGUCGUAGUCGUACUGGUGGCUUGCCUUGCUGCAGUCAAUUGUCAAGAUCCUUUUUGCUUGAGUAAUGGAUUGCGAGAUAAUGCGAACCUUCAAGAAUGCAACACCAUGUUAGCUACCGCUGCCACCAACCUUGAGGCUUUUUGUCAACUGCCCUGCAUCAACGGUUAUGCAGCACUUCUCACCACUUGUCAAUUACCAAACAGCAUAACACAAUUUUGCCCCAACGCUGGUGCUAACGAUGCUGCAUCUACUGUUGCCGUGCCAAUGAUGGUGCUCACUGGACUUAUUGCGGCUUUGGCGUCACUGUUUUAAGCAGACACAACGUCAAAGAUACUAUAUACUGAUAUUCGAACACAGAUAUUAUAUAGUGCUAUAGCUCUAGAGAACUGAAUACAUGCACAUGCAUGUAUUCAGUAAAUUAUAGUCUUUUAUUCAGCUUGAUUUGUGUGAAAAAACACCAAAUUUUAAGUUUAUCUCCAAUAUGAA
This is an RNA transcript of Halichondria panicea, 4913 nucleotides long. RefSeq lists it as uncharacterized. The record is from RefSeq and is a predicted model, not a curated record. The transcript is spliced from 6 exons. Lineage: Eukaryota; Metazoa; Porifera; Demospongiae; Suberitida; Halichondriidae.